AUUGAACGCUGGCGGCAGGCUUAACACAUGCAAGUCGAGCGGGGUGAUGGUGCUUGCACUAUCACUUAGCGGCGGACGGGUGAGUAAUGCUUAGGAAUCUGCCUAUUAGUGGGGGACAGCAUCUCGAAAGGGAUGCUAAUACCGCAUACGUCCUACGGGAGAAAGCAGGGGAUCACUUGUGACCUUGCGCUAAUAGAUGAGCCUAAGUCGGAUUAGCUAGUUGGUGGGGUAAAGGCCUACCAAGGCGACGAUCUGUAGCGGGUCUGAGAGGAUGAUCCGCCACACUGGGACUGAGAACCGGCCCAGACUCCUACGGGAGGCAGCCGUGGGGAAUAUUGGACAAUGGGGGGAACCCUGAUCCAGCCAUGCCGCGUGUGUGAAGAAGGCCUUAUGGUUGUAAAGCACUUUAAGCGAGGAGGAGGCUCUUUUGGUUAAUACCCAAGAUGAGUGGACGUUACUCGCAGAAUAAGCACCGGCUAACUCUGUGCCAGCCGCCGCGGUAA
Molecule: ribosomal RNA, 503 nt
Filed under: uncultured bacterium
Lineage: Bacteria
Description: partial 16S ribosomal RNA
Rfam family: Bacterial small subunit ribosomal RNA
Source: RNAcentral